Molecule: unclassified non-coding RNA, 179 nt
Filed under: rhizosphere metagenome
Description: partial ribosomal RNA internal transcribed spacer region
Source: RNAcentral
GUAGGUGAACCUGCGGAAGGAUCAUUAUAAAAUUUUUCAUAUAUUAAAUUUAUUCAAUAUAUAAAAUUUAUACAAAAAUGUAUUCAAAACCCACACUCUUUAUAACCAUAAGAAAAUAUAUUUAUAUAUUUUAUAAUAUAAUAAAAAAACAACUUUCAACAACGGAUCUCUUGGCUCUC